AUAGAUUAUAAUCGGCGCGGCGAACCUUGAUCCCUAUGACAGUUCGUGUUAGUGAUGGGUCGUGUCUUUGGUCGUAUCGAUUUUUUUUUUAGACAAAUGCGUGGCUUGCAUUCAUCCACGUUGGUAAACAUGUUUUAAAAAAUAUUAUAAUGUGCAUUUUUAAUGUGCAUUAUGUUGUUGUUGUAUUAAUUUCAGAUUUUUGGCAUAGAUUAAGUAGGUAAGUAAAACGAAAGUUUCCAACCUUGUUAUUUUCUAAUAAUGUUUAACCCGGUAAACACGUUUUUGCUAUAUAAGUAUAUAUUUUAUCAUGAAAAUGAAUGUUCCCAAUUUAUUUAUUUUGUCUGAAAAAAAAUUGUUACUAUAACCUACAAUAGGCUAUAAUAAUAUUAUAGGAUAUUUUUAGAUAUAGCCACACUAUUUGGUCGGUUACUACGACGCGACGCGCGCGAUCGCUCUUGCCGAUAUCGAUACUUGCCGCCCUAGUCGAUAAUGGUCACACGACGUAAGUUUUGCAGGACGUAAACAUAAAUUCAGAUUGAGAUAACUUCUUGUAAAUGUUAAGAAUUGUUAAAAAUAUCAACGGAAUAUCAUUUCUAAUGGUAUAAAGCUACGUAAAAUUUAUAAAUGGCAUUUUUAGACGCCCCCAAUAUGAUCCCAAUUUAAUGGUGACGCCACUACAAUGUUAUAUGGUGACAUUAGCUGUCAGUGUCAUAGGGAUCAAGGUUCGCCGCGCCGACUAUAGAGUAAAUUUGAUU
Molecule: long non-coding RNA, 755 nt
Organism: Maniola jurtina (meadow brown)
Lineage: Eukaryota; Metazoa; Arthropoda; Insecta; Lepidoptera; Nymphalidae
Exons: 3
Source: RefSeq, a predicted model, not a curated record